GCCUGGGUGGCUCAGUGGUUGAGCGUCUGUCUUUGGCUCAGGGCAUGACCCCGGGGUCCUGGGAUCGAGUCCCACAUCGGGCU
This is a non-coding RNA of Canis lupus familiaris (dog), 83 nucleotides long. The record is from Rfam. NCBI's taxonomy places the organism in Eukaryota, Metazoa, Chordata, Mammalia, Carnivora, Canidae.